Molecule: long non-coding RNA, 766 nt
Filed under: Homo sapiens (human)
Lineage: Eukaryota; Metazoa; Chordata; Mammalia; Primates; Hominidae
Description: long non-coding RNA NONHSAT252752
Source: RNAcentral
CCAGAGGCUUAAGUGAAAAAAUAUGUUUGCAUACAUAUUAAUACAGCAACUCCAAUCCUUUUUCACUAGUGCCAGGAAAAAAGGAAAGUGAUUAAAUGCAUUUUUUUUUUUUUUUUUGCAUAAAGAAGCCAAAGAAUUGUCUUGCCACCACCCUUCACCAUUUAUUCUGCCAGGGAAUAAGCCACAACACCUGCUCUGUCACUAAAUUCCUCCUGCUGCUCAAACGCCGGAACACGUAUGUGGAGAUGCAGAGCCCAAGGAACUAUUAUUAGAUCUUGAGCCCAUCCCUACCAGAACAGAGGACUCAAACAGAGGAGCUGGGCUAAAAAGCACAAUUUGUCUUCAGUACAAAUACAAACGCUCCCGCACCCCAGUUCACUUGAGUGAUCUCUGUUUCAUUAAAAACUCUUUCUUGAUCAACAAUUGAGCAGAUUCUACAUGAUAUCUGCAGGUCUCUUAAGCAGAGAAAAAUAACUCCUUGUUUCAACAACCUGAUUAAUGAAACCUGUACAGUGACCUAGAUCACCCGGCUACUGGCAGACAUUUGCAAAACCUUUUGUGGUCUUGCUUCCUACUAAGUUGCUUAUAGCAUAUGGGGAAAUUUGACCUCUGUACCUUGGCUGUUUGUCAAAAAGUUCUAAUAUGAUACAAGAGAGCUUCUGUUCUUUAAGCUUUGCCCAAAAAUAGACACUCCAUGCUUGAUUUUCAAGAAGAGAUCAAUGAUAAGCUGCAGUGCAACCUCAUAGCUACAUGUCAGAAAAAUAAG